Molecule: long non-coding RNA, 625 nt
Organism: Oncorhynchus tshawytscha (Chinook salmon)
Lineage: Eukaryota; Metazoa; Chordata; Actinopteri; Salmoniformes; Salmonidae
Source: Ensembl
CACACACACACACAAACACACUCUACAGGGAGGUUAGAUAGAUGGUAGACUCCUUCACUCUACAGGGAGGUUAGAUAGAUGGUAGACUCCUUCACUCUACAGGGAGGUUAGAUAGAUGGUAGACUCCUUCACUCUACAGGGAGGUUAGAUAGAUGGUAGACUCCUUCACUCUACAGGGAGGUUAGAUAGAUGGUAGACUCCUUCACUCUACAGGGUGGUUAGAUAGAUGGUAGACUCCUUCACUCUACAGGGUGGUUAGAUAGAUGGUAGACUCCUUCACUCUACAGGGUGGUUAGAUAGACGGUAGACUCCUUCACUCUGCAGUCUUGGUAGGGUUCCAUCCACACUACACCACUCCGUUCCCAAUCUGGCCCUCAUGCCAUCAUGGCCACCUGAUCAUCCCCAGCUUCCAGUUGACUCAUUCAUCCCCCUCCUCUCCCCUGUAACUAUUCCCCAGGCCGUUGCUGUAAAUGAGAAUGUGUUCUCAGUCAACUUACCUGGUAAAUCAAAAUAAAAAAAUGUCUCAUCUUGAUCGGAUACACCGGCAUUUCUUUGUCUUAGAUGUUCUUUCUGACUUAACCAUACGCCUCCUCACACAGCAUGUCGCAACAUGGCAUCUCCAAAU